Molecule: long non-coding RNA, 818 nt
Organism: Xenia sp. Carnegie-2017
Lineage: Eukaryota; Metazoa; Cnidaria; Anthozoa; Malacalcyonacea; Xeniidae
Exons: 3
Source: RefSeq, a predicted model, not a curated record
GCCCACCUAAAGGUGGUCAAAUGAUAUUCACAGAAGAUUAACUCUGCACUAAGCAUUCUUUGAGUGAUGAUAUAACUGGGGUAUUGAAAUGAUCCCUUUUCCUUUGCUUGAAGUUACCAAUUGUAAAUUAUGGAAAUAGCGAUUCAUGAUCUCAGUAGCUACUUUAUUUGUUAAUGAUGCUGGUAACUUCGUGUAUGGAAUGGUACAAACGUUUUGAAUGGACAUUGUAUAACGGCAUAUGUACGUAUGAACAUUAACAUUGGAGUGAUUGGACUAAAAACGUACUGUAUUCUACGAAAAUGGAAAACAAGCGAGAGGAAAAACACAAUCCAUGUCUUGAGUUAUAUGACCAGGUAAUUUCCUAACCCUGGAAUCCGUUACUAUACUACCAAGUAUUUGCAGCUGCUGGAAUCCGAUACUACAAUCGUUGAAGAUCGAAGAUCGCUAUUGGAGCCAGUGUCCUUCUGCCAGAAAUAAAGUGGAAGAUCACAUUCACUGACUUAAAUGGUUCAGCCCGUCGGCCUGUUGUGCAUACUUUUGGUCCUUAACUUGAAGUUCCAAGCACCUAUCAGUGCUAAAUGAAGUAGCGGAAGAUUCUUUAUCCAUUCUUCGCGAGAAAAGUUCAUGGACGUUCGAUAUUGUCUAGUGAGGACGUUAAAGUCAUAUCUACACAUCUAAGUUCCCGUUUGCACUAUACCGGAUUGCUAUCGUAGCAGGUUGAAUAUUCUUUAUAUUAAAAGGCAGGGAAAUUGUUCAAUGUCAGAAACACAAUCAAAUGGACUAAAUCUAUCAGCUUAAUAGGCUUUUACUCCGAGCAG